CCAUACUAAGAUCCGUUUAGGACGUCACCUGUCCCAUACGCAAGGCCAAAAGCAUCAGGCCAAUCUGGCACAUCGUGCGGCUAAAGAAACGAAGGAUGGAACGUGGGUUAUACAACCAGAAAAGCACGCAUCGAGCUGAAAAAGUUUGUCCCAAACAGAUCUAUUUCAAUUUUAUUGCUUCUUAUGUUCAUUUUCCACAUUAGGUUUAUGAUAAUAAUAAUAAUUUGUAACAUUCAAAAAACACGAGCUUCCGCAAGUUUCCAAAAUCGAUUGGCGCCAGAAGCGGCGAGAGCACAAACUGUCAACACUGUCAUCAAUGUCACGGUAUUUUUCUCCAAAGGACGCGUUGGUUGGUUGUUCGCGAAGUAUUUAUACUGUUUUUCCGAUAAAAACAACGUUUGCAGCAUGGAUUACCAAAACCAUGCCGGUGACAACACCGGCGGCGUAGGCGAGUGCAAGUGGUACCGGCGUGAACGAUUGUGCCAGCCAGCGCUGGAAAAGAUCGAUCUGAACCUGGAUAAAACGAGGCAGCAUCUGACUCACAGUCAUGGCUAAAAUCAUCAAGCCAAUUUGGCACAUUGUGCCGCGAAACAAGUGAAGGAAGCACCGUGAGUUAUACGACCGAAAAAACCACGCAUCGAGCCGAAAAAGUUCGCCAAGAUCGAUCGCCCCGGUUAUCAGGUGACGAAGCAGCACGAUCCGGUAUUGUACCGCGGCAUCGGUUUAUAUUCGUUUACGAACCACCAUCGAAAAGAUCGAGCACCAGUCAAACACGAGAACACGAGCUUCCGCCAAUUUCCACCAUAAAACGAAUGGCGCUAGCAUCGGCGACAGCACGAACUGUCAGUGCUGUCAUCAAUGUCAAGCCAUUUUUCUCCAAGGGACGCGCUGGAUGGUUGUUGGCGAAAUCUUUCUGCCGUUUUUCCGAUAAAUACAACGUUUGCAGCAUGGAUUACCAAAACCAUGUCGGUGACAACACCGGCGGCGUAGGCGAGUGCAAGUGGUACCGGCGUGAACGAUUGUGCCAGCCAGCGCUGGAAAAGAUCGAUCUGAACCUGGAUAAAACGAGGCAGCAUCUGACUCACAGUCAUGGCUAAAAUCAUCAAGCCAAUUUGGCACAUUGUGCCGCGAAACAAGUGAAGGAAGCACCGUGAGUUAUACGACCGAAAAAACCACGCAUCGAGCCGAAAAAGUUCGCCAAGAUCGAUCGCCCCGGUUAUCAGGUGACGAAGCAGCACGAUCCGGUAUUGUACCGCGGCAUCGGUUUAUGUUCGUUUACGUACCAUCAUCGAGAUGAUCGAGCACCAGUCAAACACGAGAACACGAGCUUCCGCCAAUUUCCACCAUAAAACGAAUGGCGCUAGCAUCGGCGACAGCACGAACUGUCAGUGCUGUCAUCAAUGUCAAGCCAUUUUUCUCCAAGGGACGCGCUGGAUGGUUGUUGGCCAAAUAGUUCUACUGUUUUUCCGAUAAAUACAACGUUUGCAGCAUGGAUUACCAAAACCAUGCCGGUGACAACACCGGCGGCGUAGGCGAGAGCAAGUGGUACCGGCGUGAACGAUUGCAUCAGCCAGCGCUGGAAACGAUCGAUCUCAACCAGGAUAUCUACUAAGAUCCAACGAAGGCAGCACCUGUCCCACACGCAGGUCGAAAAGCAUCAGGCCAAUCUGGCACGUCGUGCCGCGAAAGAAACAAAGGAAGCACCGUCGUUGAAAAAACUGGGAAAGAAACACAUCGAUCCGAAAAAGUGUGUCAAGAUCGGUACCGCGGCAUCGGUUUAUUUCCGCUUACGAUCUAAACAAGGAUAUCUACUAAGAUCCAACGAGGGCAUCAUUUGUCCCACACGCGGAGUGAAAGGGAUCAGGUCAAUCUGGCACGUCGUGCCGUGAAAGAAACAAAGGAAGCACCGUCGUUGAUAUAACUGGGAAAGAAACGCGUCGAUCCGAAAAAGUGUGUUAAGAUCGGUACCGCUCCUUCGGUUUAUUUCCGUUUACAAACAAAAGAUCGUAACUGGACCAUGCCAUUGAAAGAAAAAUACAAAACGAUUUUUCCUACAGUUUUCCUUAAAGCCGGAACCGAAGAAAAUUCCACCACCGCCACCGAAUGUGCACCGUAAGCCGAUAUUUAAUCUGGUUCCGCCACCGCCGACUUAAGUAAAGCGAGUGCAGAUUGAUUUAGGUCCGGAUGUGAAUGUUAAACUAAUGUAUGAUCAUAAUUUACAAUAAUAAAACUGUCCUAUGGUUGUUAAAUU
Anopheles funestus (African malaria mosquito) is the source of this 2251-nucleotide long non-coding RNA. RefSeq lists it as uncharacterized. The transcript is spliced from 6 exons. The record is from RefSeq and is a predicted model, not a curated record. NCBI's taxonomy places the organism in Eukaryota, Metazoa, Arthropoda, Insecta, Diptera, Culicidae.